GAUAGCUCAGACGGUAGAGCAUGAGACUCUUAAUCUCGGGGUCGUGGGUUUGGGGCAAAAAGAUUCCUGCACCG
Molecule: non-coding RNA, 74 nt
Organism: Podarcis lilfordi (Lilford's wall lizard)
Lineage: Eukaryota; Metazoa; Chordata; Lepidosauria; Squamata; Lacertidae
Source: the annotation of a GenBank genome assembly